GCCGCGUGAGUGAUGAAGGUUUUCGGAUCGUAAAACUCUGUUGUUAGGGAAGAACAAGUACCGGAGUAACUGCCGGUACCUUGACGGUACCUAACCAGAAAGCCACGGCUAACUACGUGCCAGCAGCCGCGGUAAUACGUAGGUGGCAAGCGUUGUCCGGAAUUAUUGGGCGUAAAGCGCGCGCAGGCGGUCCUUUAAGUCUGAUGUGAAAGCCCACGGCUCAACCGUGGAGGGUCAUUGGAAACUGGGGGACUUGAGUACAGAAGAGAAGAGUGGAAUUCCACGUGUAGCGGUGAAAUGCGUAGAGAUGUGGAGGAACACCAGUGGCGAAGGCGACUCUUUGGUCUGUAACUGACGCUGAGGCGCGAAAGCGUGGGGAGCAAACAGGAUUAGAUACCCUGGUAGUCCACGCUGUAAACGAUGAGUGCUAAGUGUUAGAGGGUUUCCGCCCUUUAGUGCUGCAGCUAACGCAUUAAGCACUCCGCCUGGGGAGUACGGCCGCAAGGCUGAAACUCAAAGGAAUU
RNAcentral lists this ribosomal RNA (524 nucleotides) under uncultured bacterium. RNAcentral's name for it is "bacterial SSU rRNA". It matches the Rfam family "Bacterial small subunit ribosomal RNA", at positions 396 to 911 of the family's 1533-position model. The record is from RNAcentral.